GAUGAACGCUGGCGGCGUGCUUAACACAUGCAAGUCGAGCGAUAAGUUUUGAAAAGAUUCUUCGGAUGAAAUUUAAAAUGGAAAGCGGCGGACGGGAGAGUAACGCGUAGGCAACCUGCCCCAUACAAAGGGAUAGCAUUUGGAAACGAAUAUUAAUACCUUAUGAAACUUAACUAGUGCAUGCUAGGUAGGUCAAAGAUUUAUCGGUAUGGGAUGGGCCUGCGUCUGAUUAGCUCGUUGGUGAGGUAACGGCUCACCAAGGCGACGAUCAGUAGCCGACCUGGGAAGGUGAACGCCCACAUAGGAACUGAGACACGGUCCACACCCCUACGGCCGGCCGCAGCGGCGAAUUUCGCACAAGGGGCGAAAUCCCGAUGCAGCUGCGCGGCUUGAAGUUUGUAGUCGCUUGGGUCCACACGUCCUGCUGUGGGUCAUCAACACUGCCCGCAACCGAGCUGAAAGCCCUUCCUGACCCAGUG
RNAcentral lists this ribosomal RNA (479 nucleotides) under uncultured bacterium. RNAcentral describes it as "partial 16S ribosomal RNA". It matches the Rfam family "Bacterial small subunit ribosomal RNA", at positions 28 to 507 of the family's 1533-position model. The record is from RNAcentral.